Molecule: long non-coding RNA, 740 nt
Organism: Ictalurus punctatus (channel catfish)
Lineage: Eukaryota; Metazoa; Chordata; Actinopteri; Siluriformes; Ictaluridae
Source: Ensembl
AGACACUUUGCUCUCGUCUAGUUUGGCAACUCUCAGGCAAACGAUUCAGCGAGUCCUAGCGAAUCGAGUCUGUACAGUGUCUUUAUGCUAAUAAGGCUAAGUAGGCUGUUACUACACACUUGCUGAGCUGGUGCGAACAUGGAGCACGCAAGACUCCUUCUCCUUCUGAUCAUGGGAAACUUCCUCGCAAGUACCGAUCAUAAUUUUAGACUGCUCUGUGGAGAAUAACACCACCUGUGACUGCGUUCACAAUGCCACAUUGGACACUGCUGAAUAUUAUGAGAAGUACAGAGACUGCGAUUGGAGUUUGAGGAACAAGGAGGAUAUAGUUCUUCAACUACUAACUCCAGUCCCACAUGUAACUGUCCCAUGCAGCUGGCAUGAAGUUUACUUGAAGUUGAACUGCGACAGCCCAAAGCAUGAAGUGAUUCUGCAUUGGUACAAGUUUGAAAGCAAAACUGAACACAUCAGUUCUGGAGAAACAAAACAUGCAUGACCACCGACGAUGAUAGAAGUACAUUAUGCCAUCCACAAAAAGUUACAUAGUUUAUUUGAUCUGCAAGAAUGAUUUUUAGAGUACUUUCUAGGAGUUUUAAUUCACUAUAUGGCCAAAAGUUUGUGGAAACCUGACCAUCCCAUCCAUACAGCCCUGAAUUAUAUUAGGGGGUGGGGCUUAAGCCCUAUGGGGCCUUCAUGUGUUAACAUGAAGUUCGUCUUCGUUAUGGUACCGUGUGUGUGUG